AAAUUAGUUACUGGUAAAUGCGCAGCAUCGAAGUAGAUGCUAAAGUCGGAAGAAAAAAGAGGAUAAGAAACGAAGGCCCCGAGCAAGCACAUACAAGCACGACCAUUUCGUCAACCAUUUUUGUGACGUUGUCACGGCUAUUUCCACAACUGUUUAACUGACAAUGAAUUUGGGUCAGUUUUCGUCCUGUUGACAUUGCUUGUUUUAAUAACAAGAAGAACAGAAAACGACAGCAAACAGAAGCUUAGCUUUCUCCAUGUAACGUUUAUCAGAAAAUGAUCGUUAUCAACUCUUGGCUAUAAAAUUUUUAAUUUACCUGCAGGUGGAUGUCCAGCUUUCAGCUCAGCCGAUUCUUCUACUGCGGACAUUAUUCGAGGUAAAAUUAACGUCGGAAAAAUCACGCUAGCGCUCUCACUUGCAACUCCUGUGUAAAAACGCGAGCAAGGCAACUAGCAACAAACAGGACGUGGACAAAAACAAGCUUCCCUCCUGAGUGCGCGUUGCAGGUUGCAGUGCAUGAUGGGACCAAUACAAGGGCCGGCCGAAAGCAACUGGAGGCGCCGAAGGCUACCGCUACCGCAGCCAUAGCAACCUUCGCUCCCUUCCUUUCUUCCAGCGCUUCGAAUUUCCACUUCCCAUUUUGUCUGAGUGCUUGAAGCUUGAAGUGCUCCAACGAAAACCAAGUGCUGAAACAAACUGAAGCUCCAAACUACAGGCAACAGCUCACCCCCAUGGGGCGAGGGACGCCCCUGCUGUGGUGCACAUGCCGGAUAGAAGACAUCAGAACUGAUCUUGGCAAGAAGUGGAUCCCAAGUGCAGACAUCUUUACUGCUGUUUCCCCCAUGUAGCCAUUUUUGAACACUCAUUCUGCAAGAAAUCAGACAGCCACCUAGCUCACAUGAUACGCAGCAUGGGGACACACAUCAUCAUCAUGGGGACACAUGUGGCAUCAGGCAACCUCACUCAGCAAACUUAUUAGGAUAAUUUAAUUAAGAAGUUCAUAAUUGCAGUCCAGUUAAUUAUCAGAAAUCCUGAAACUUCUUGUUGAAGUAACCCCCAACACUGGAAACUACCUUUUAAAAUUCUGGCCAGCUCAUUUAACUUUUUGAUUUUUGUUAAAGCAGCUGCAAUCUCUUGAAUAUACAUAUUUCAUACAUGGUCA
This is a long non-coding RNA of Ornithodoros turicata, 1162 nucleotides long. RefSeq lists it as uncharacterized. Lineage: Eukaryota; Metazoa; Arthropoda; Arachnida; Ixodida; Argasidae. The record is from RefSeq and is a predicted model, not a curated record. The transcript has 4 exons.